This is a long non-coding RNA of Carassius auratus (goldfish), 1636 nucleotides long. NCBI's taxonomy places the organism in Eukaryota, Metazoa, Chordata, Actinopteri, Cypriniformes, Cyprinidae. The record is from Ensembl.
GUCUUCUGUGAAAGAUUAUACCAUAGCAUUCACACAUGUCGAAAAUUCAUAGACAAGCCAAUAAUGGAACGAGUAAAGUUCGUACAAAUGAAAGGACUAUGUUUCGGAUGCCUCAACUCUGGACAUCAUUCAAAGAAAUGUGGAAAGAGAAGUGUUUGUGACACAUGCAAAGGAAAACACCCAACCUGUUUACAUGAGGAACGGGACAAGGAAAUCAGAAAGAACAUAGAAAGCGAGAAGGAACAAAAGGAAAGCAAAAGCACAAAUGACACAAAGGAAAUCAAACAAAAUAAAGAAGCACCAAACGAGGCAACAUCGCACCGUGUAGUCCAAAACAACAGCAGUAACCUCACAUCCACAAUUAGUCCAGUUUGGUUAUCCACAACAAGCGAACCAGAACACGAAAUCCUGCUGUAUGCCCUUUUAGACAGUCAGAGCGACACAACAUUCAUUCUACAAGAAAAGGCAGAUGCUCUGGAUUCUGAAAAGAAACAUGUACAGUUAAAGCUUUCUACACUGUCAGCCAGAGAUACAGUCAAUUCAAGUGAAAAGCUGUCAGGGCUACAAGUCAGAGGCUUUUAUUCCUCAAAGAGAAUCCCUCUUCCUGUAACAUAUACAAGAGAGUUUAUUCCUGCCAAUCUAAAUCACAUCUCAACUCCUAAGACGGCAAGAGCAUGGCCCCACCUAGAGCACCUUGCAGAAGAGAUCGCCCCUCUCAUAGAAUGCGAUGUUGGUCUGCUCAUAGGUUACAACUGUUCACAAGCACUGUUACCCAGAGAAGUUGUGUCAGGAAAAGACAAUGAGCCAUUCGCACAAAGAACAGACUUGGGCUGGACAAUAGUUGGUGGUGCUGACCCUUGUGUUGACUAUGGUGAUUCUAUUGGAAGCAGCCAUAGGAUCAUUGUCAAAGAAGUGACACCUAGCCAGUCAUCAGAUCAGUUACCAAAUGAAGUCCAUUACAUUUGUCGCACACAAGUCAAAGAAGUAGUCACACCACCAGAUGUGAUUAAAAUCCUUGAGUCUGACUUCAACGAUAGAAAGGUGGAAGAUUCUCACUUCUCUCAAGAGGAUCUGCGCUUCAUUUCUAUAAUGGAGGAAAGAGUUAAAAUGAGAGCAGAUGGAUUUUGUGAGCUACCUUUGCCAUUUAAAGAGGACAGACCAAGUAUGACAAACAAUAAGAGCUGUGCAGAACACCGACUCAAAUGUCUUAAGAAAAGACUUGAAAGGGACAAACAAUAUCACAAAGACUACACAAAAUUCAUGAACGAAACAAUUGAACGUGGAGAGGCAGAGAGGGUCCCACCUGAAGAACUGAACAAAAGCCUUGCCUGGUACAUUCCACACCAUGGGGUGUACCAUCCCCAAAAACCUGGGAAAAUAAGAGUAGUGUUUGAUUGUUCAGCGAAAUAUGAAGGCAUGUCAUUAAACGAUCACCUGCUGACAGGACCAGAUCUAACAAACACCCUGAUAGGUGUCUUGUGCCGCUUUCGCAAGGGUCCAGUGGCAGUGAUGUGCGACAUAGAACGUAUGUUUUAUCAGUUCAGAGUCAGAGCCGAAGAUCAAGACUACUUCCGUUUCCUGUGGUGGGACAACGGAGACUUUCACUUAAGUCCAUCAGUCUACCGAAUGCGAGUCC